UAGUGUGAAUCGCAGAACAUUGUGAAUCAUUGAAUCUUUGAACGCACAUUGCGCCUCCCUUUAUGGGGAGGCAUGCCUGUCUGAGCGUCAUUUAAACCAAUAAACCCGGAUGGGUUUGUGCUGGGCCUCGCCCGUCGGGCGUCGCCUCAAAGGCAUCGGUCUUACGAGCGGAUGAGAUCCAUUAGGACUGACCGUUCCGAUGACAUUAAACCUCUGACUUGACCUCAGAUCAGGUAGGGACACCGCCUGAACUUAAGCAUAUCAAUAAGGCGAGGAACAGAAACCAACAGGGAUUCCCCUAGUAGUGGCGAAUGAAGCGGGAAAAGCUCAAGUUUGAAAUCUGAGGGGUGACCUUCAGAGUUGUAAGCUGAAGAGGCGUAGACCGACGCGGUCCGGGCUCAAUUUCCUUGGAACAGGAGGUCAUGGAGGGUGAGAACCCCGUCUGUGGCUUGGGUGCCGACGUCCUUGUGUCUUGUCCUCGAAGAGUCGGGUUGUUUGGGAAUGCAGCUCAAAAUGGGUGGUAAAUUUCAUCUAAAGCUAAAUAUUGGCGAGAGACCGAUAGCAAACAAGUAGAGUGAU
This 579-nucleotide ribosomal RNA is filed under the name uncultured Pezizomycotina. Its description in RNAcentral is "eukaryotic LSU rRNA". The stretch from base 220 to 579 matches the Rfam family "Eukaryotic large subunit ribosomal RNA", at positions 1 to 357 of the family's 3401-position model. The record is from RNAcentral. Lineage: Eukaryota; Fungi; Ascomycota.